This 255-nucleotide ribosomal RNA is filed under the name uncultured bacterium. RNAcentral describes it as "partial 16S ribosomal RNA". It matches the Rfam family "Bacterial small subunit ribosomal RNA", at positions 524 to 776 of the family's 1533-position model. The record is from RNAcentral.
UACGUAGGCAGCAAGCGUUGUUCGGAGUUACUGGGCGUAAAGGGUGCGUAGGCGGUCCUAUAAGUAUGGUGUGAAAUCUCCCGGCUUAACUGGGAGGGUGCGCUAUAGACUGUGGGACUAGAGUGUGGGAGAGGAAAGUGGAAUUCCUGGUGUAGCGGUGAAAUGCGCAGAUAUCAGGAGGAACACCGGUGGCGAAGGCGGGGUCUCUGGGGCCGACACUGACACUGAGAGACGAAAGCUAGGGGAGCGAAUGGG